RNAcentral lists this ribosomal RNA (497 nucleotides) under uncultured bacterium. RNAcentral's name for it is "partial 16S ribosomal RNA". It matches the Rfam family "Bacterial small subunit ribosomal RNA", at positions 28 to 507 of the family's 1533-position model. The record is from RNAcentral.
GAUGAACGCUGGCGGCGUGCCUAAUACAUGCAAGUCGAGCGAACGGACGAGAAGCUUGCUUCUCUGAUGUUAGCGGCGGACGGGUGAGUAACACGUGGAUAACCUACCUAUAAGACUGGGAUAACUUCGGGAAACCGGAGCUAAUACCGGAUAAUAUUUUGAACCGCAUGGUUCAAAAGUGAAAGACGGUCUUGCUGUCACUUAUAGAUGGAUCCGCGCUGCAUUAGCUAGUUGGUAAGGUAACGGCUUACCAAGGCAACGAUGCAUAGCCGACCUGAGAGGGGGGGAGGCCAAACGGGAGGGGAAACACGACACGGACCCCGGGGGGGGGCAGGAGUGGGAAUUCUUCCGAAAGGGGCAAAAGCCGGAAGAAGCAACGCCGCGGGGGAGAUGAAGUUUUUGGGACCGAAAAACUCUUUUAUAGGGAAAAAAAAUAGGGGUAAUAACCUGCGCACAUUUGGCGGGCCCCUAAAAAAAAAGCCACGGCAAACUCCGUG